This 318-nucleotide small RNA is filed under the name Histoplasma ohiense. RNAcentral describes it as "hypothetical lncRNA". The record is from RNAcentral. Lineage: Eukaryota; Fungi; Ascomycota; Eurotiomycetes; Onygenales; Ajellomycetaceae.
CAGACGGCCACGCCAGGGGCGAUGAUGACCUUGGGCAGAUAGGCAAUAUCACUAAUCAUACUAGUUCAAAAUAGAACUAGUGUAUAUCCCCUUUUCAUAGGUGACGUUUUUUUGGUAAUAGUUACCAUCAUAGAAUUCAACCACUAGGUCAUGGUGUCCCAUUUGGCGCCAUUCUAGAAAUGGGAUCAGAACAGAACCAAGACUAGAUAUCUUUAUACAAAACACGAUCUGAGGAUUAAUCUUUACUAUAAAUAGUGCAAUGGAACUGGAACUAGCAUUAUAAGAAGUGUAAAGUGACUAGUAUAAUCAAACAAUAUA